GCGCCUUGCCAGCCCGCUCAGAAACUUAAAGGAAUUGACGGGGGCCCGCACAAGCGGUGGAGCAUGUGGUUUAAUUCGAUGAUACGCGAGGAACCUUACCUGGGCUCAAAUGUAUGUUGACGUAUUCUGAAAGGGAUACUUCUUCGGACAAUAUACAAGGUGCUGCAUGGUUGUCGUCAGCUCGUGCCGUGAGGUGUCGGGUUAAGUCCCAUAACGAGCGCAACCCUUGCCUAUAGUUGCCAGCAGUUCGGCUGGGCACUCUAAAGGGACUGCCGGUGUUAAACCGGAGGAAGGUGGGGAUGACGUCAAGUCCUCAUGGCCUUUAUGACCAGGGCUACACACGUACUACAAUGGCCGAUACAAAGGGCAGCGACACUGCGAGGUGAAGCCAAUCCCGUAAAAUCGGUCUCAGUCCGGAUUGGAGUCUGCAACUCGACUCCAUGAAGUUGGAAUCGCUAGUAAUCGUGGAUCAGCAUGCCACGGUGAAUACGUUCCCGGGCCUU
Molecule: ribosomal RNA, 503 nt
Filed under: uncultured Desulfobulbus sp.
Lineage: Bacteria; Pseudomonadati; Thermodesulfobacteriota; Desulfobulbia; Desulfobulbales; Desulfobulbaceae
Description: bacterial SSU rRNA
Rfam family: Bacterial small subunit ribosomal RNA
Source: RNAcentral